CACAGAUUCCUUUGGUGAUAAAGACAUCCGAUGACACACAUGCACGUACUUUAGAGCUUCUAGAGUGGAAUUCAUACUUUGGAAUGAAGUCAACACAAGUGAAACUUCUUAAGCAGGAAAAGGUAGCAUGCUUAGAUGAUAAUGAUGCCAGGCUUGCAAUUGAACCUCAAAACAAAUAUAAAAUUCAGACCAAACCUCAUGGCCAUGGAGAUGUGCACAUUCUUUAUUCUAGUGGCCUCUUAAACUCAUGGUAUGCUUUUGUACUUUUCUAUGUUAAAUGCAACAAUUUCUUAGUUCAAUUUCCUGGUAAGAUGUUAUGGCUACAUGUCAUGGCAUUCUGGUGAUCGCUUGUUGUAUGAUUUGUAGUAAUCAUUUCCUUGAAUUUUCUCUCUUAGAUAUGAGUGUUGGUUUCAAACAGGCUUUUGAUGUCUUCAUUUUUUACAUUUAUCAUGCUCCUCUUAGGCACGAUGCAGGUUUGAGAUGGGUCUUAUUUUUUAAAGUCUUGAUGUCUUGAUGUCUUGUUUUUUCAAACAGGCUUUUGAUGUCUUGAUGUCUUAUUUUUUUACAUUUACACCAAUUUCUGCUCAUUUGAAAUUUCUUGCAAGAGAUGGCAUGCAACUAUGUCUAGUUUUAGCUUCUUUGAUAUUUCCUACAAAAGAAGGCUAACAACUAUGAGUGUGAAAUGUUUUAGUAAGCCAGGGGUUCUGGGUGGUCAGAUUUUCUACGAUCACGGCCUUAAUCUUCUAAGCUUUUGGUUCAUUUGCUAUUUAGUUAGUUUGCUAGCAGGGCCAGUUUUUGUCGUUCCUAGUGAAGUAUGCAAGUUGUCUCCAUCCUUGUUGGAGCCUUUUGUGUGGUCUAUGUUCUUAUCAGCCCAAGCUUCUUCAAGUUUUGUCUCUCUUGGGUUUCUGUCGUUCAAGUUGGAUUGGAGCAUCAAUUUUAAGGUG
Molecule: long non-coding RNA, 944 nt
Organism: Magnolia sinica
Lineage: Eukaryota; Viridiplantae; Streptophyta; Magnoliopsida; Magnoliales; Magnoliaceae
Exons: 3
Source: RefSeq, a predicted model, not a curated record